CUAUGGCAUUCAUCACAAAAAUACAAAAAAGAAAAAUGGCCUUCCUUUGGAAGCUUAUGCAAGAUGACACCAGGUAGAACCCGGCUUAUGUAGUCAGUCAUUGAUGGUGGCGCUAAUUGGUCAUCCAUCCCCUGCCAUACGUGAAUUGGACCAAGAAAUCCAGCCAAUUCACAUUCUGCCUGACUGUACAUGGAUCUAAGCCAAAGGAGAAUGCCUUUCUUCUGACACUUCCUCUGCACAUGCAGAUCUGCCAAGCUGAAACCCCAAUUUGACACCUGUAGUACAGCUUCCUCAAUGAAUGGUUUUGCAAUCCCUUGGCGGAUUGACUCCUCCACAUCCCUAUGCCAAAAUUCUUCAAAUGUUGAAUCCUGAAUCAGAAUUUGGUCCUUCCUUCCAAGUGCCUGAGACAUCCACUUAUCAAUUUGACCAUGAAAACCGGAUAGGAAGCUUCGGCGAUAAAAACAAGAGAGAAAUUUUGGAAAUUUCUGAGCCAAGAAGUACAUUAAUUUCCUUUUUGAUGACCAUUGUUCCCAUGUUCUUCUGAUCUCUUCUUUUGUCAUGCCCAGAUCAUAUGGAUUAAUCAUUGGGGCAAUCAUGGC
Molecule: unclassified non-coding RNA, 599 nt
Filed under: Hevea brasiliensis (rubber tree)
Lineage: Eukaryota; Viridiplantae; Streptophyta; Magnoliopsida; Malpighiales; Euphorbiaceae
Source: RNAcentral